UCUUUGCUAGUAUAUCGGUUAGUACACGCGCCUGUCAUUGGCACAUUGGUACAUUGGUACGCGCGAAAGCUGGGUUCGACUCCCAGGCAGAGAG
Asterophora parasitica is the source of this 94-nucleotide non-coding RNA. The record is from the annotation of a GenBank genome assembly. NCBI's taxonomy places the organism in Eukaryota, Fungi, Basidiomycota, Agaricomycetes, Agaricales, Lyophyllaceae.